GCAGAAGUACUCAAGCUGGUGACGAGGCGCCCCUGCUAAGGGCGUAGGGUGGGUAACCGCCGCGAGAGUUCGAGUCUCUCCUUCUGCGCCA
Molecule: transfer RNA, 91 nt
Filed under: Eubacterium sp.
Lineage: Bacteria; Bacillati; Bacillota; Clostridia; Eubacteriales; Eubacteriaceae
Description: tRNA-Ser
Rfam family: tRNA
About the family: Transfer RNA (tRNA) molecules are approximately 80 nucleotides in length. Their secondary structure includes four short double-helical elements and three loops (D, anti-codon, and T loops).
Source: RNAcentral